Molecule: long non-coding RNA, 2013 nt
Filed under: Triticum aestivum (bread wheat)
Lineage: Eukaryota; Viridiplantae; Streptophyta; Magnoliopsida; Poales; Poaceae
Description: long non-coding RNA (TAES_LNC026885)
Source: RNAcentral
AAAACUUGACAAAAGCUACUUCACAUGCCAGUACGCUCCACUUACAUUCAAGUCUAACAAACAAAUAAGGUUGCCCUCAUCUCUAUAAGGUGCAUAUGCGGGUGUGUUGCCUCGGUUGAAUUAUCCUUAGAAACUAAGAGUCCCAAAUAUCAAACAAUAAACUCUGUUAACAGGAAAUGCAGUCAGUAGUAAGUUCACUUAGUAUAUGGUUGUCGACCUAGAUUUUCCAAAAUGCUUUGAACCGAUGCAUUUCCCUUGCAAACUAUGCAGACAGAAGAUCAAAUUUGAAAAAUUAAAUAAUUGUUUUUCUGGAAAGGAGAGGUGCAACAAGAGAUCAGUUAAAUUGCAUAAUAAAGACCACCAUUUUGACAUAUCAUGUAAUUCCAUCCUAGACACAAAUCUCGCGACCAGUCUGUCAUGCAUUCCUAAAACAGUAUGCCUCUUCAGCGGUCACAGGUGCACGGCUGGGAACUUUCCCCGAGCGUUUUGUCUGCAAGAGAUGUUCAGAUUACUUCAUCUGUGAAUAGACGGCACACCCAGCUAGUAUUUAAGAACAAAACAAUAAAAUGCCGUUGAAUUCCCAUCAUGUAGAAUAAGGCACUGCCUCCAUGAAACCUGCAAUGACAAGAGCAUGUAAGUUUUCUCGGCGUGGUAUUUGUAAUCCACAUGCCCUAACUACCAAGUUCUCAACUAAGAAUAUAUAUAUAUAUAUAUAUAUAUAUAUAUAUAUAUAUAUAUAUAUAUNNNNNNNNNNAAAAAAAAACCAAAAAAAUCUACUGAAACCAUAUGCAUAGAUUAUAGUAGUUAUGGUAGCUCAUUUCAUGUCCAACAAAAAUUCAUAUGUGUUCUCUAAAAUAAAAACAUAGGUCUUAAAUAUAAACACAAAGAAAUAGUGUUUUCUUUAAAAGAAAAGGUGUAGAGAAUGAACUAUAUACACUGAAUAGUCAUUACAUGAAUCAGAAGUAGAAGCGGUACUUUAGGACAAAAAACAUAUAUUGUACAACUGGUUCUAUCUGUAUGUAACCAUGCGAAAUUAAGCUCAAUAUACCUCAUUUUCCGCUGAAGUCAAGAUCUAUUGCAGAUCAAUGCGAGCAGUUUCAAUGUCGAACCUUCCAUAUAGAAUGCAGGCCCUUGUCUAUACAAUUGCAGUCAGAGUUGAUUGCAAUAUUGACGCGUAUGUCAUGAGCAGCAAAAUCAUAUGCUCCUGGGUUCUAGCACUUGCCCAACUGAUAUAGUUCAAGCAGGAAAAAAAUAUUCAGUAAACCAAAAUGGAAACCUUUUAGAAAGUAGAGGGGCUCGGUGUUAAGCAAUGGUUUCAGGUAACUAUCGGGUUCAACCAGUACUAUGCUACCUUCUAAUAAACAUGGAAGAUGAUUAAGGUCUCAAUGAGAUAUAAUGAACUGUAGUGUGGUCAGCAGCAAGAGGAACAUUUAAACAUUCAAUGUGCCCAUUGCAAGUGCUCCAAUAAAUGCAAUAAGCAGAACUCAAAUAAAGCAACAUCUCUAGGACUGUAUUCUGGAAAAUAUAAAUAGAAGACCAGGUAAACUUUGCAACAGUCAAUAUACCUUUUAAGAAGAAUCAAUCGGCUAUCAUAAUAUUUUGACGGGCUACGACUAUCAUAUUCAGCAACCAAAAUGAUACAAUAUAUAUCAUAGGAAAAAAAAACUACUAAGUGCAGGUGGCAAGAAAAAGAGAGAUAUGAGUGGUCAAACUCUCCUAGAAGCAAAGAGAUCUUGACUUACAAACUCAAGGCACAUAGCAGCAUACCGAAAUUUCUAGCUAGUUGUACUUGCAGGUAGUGAAAAUUAAGCAGGCAAUGUUAGGAGACUCGAAAGAAGGCUUUGGCCAGCCUGUGAUCCGCACAUUAUAUGAUCAUGUGCAGGUUCGUAUUUUACUGUUUAAAUUCUUGAGUCUCUCCUCAUCUUGUUUUGAAAUAGCUCCAUGUUAAGACUUCUUCUAUCCAUAGUUUGGUAGUUGCUUGAGAAUAAUAGCUAGCAGAGAAACAGCUCGGGG